This 73-nucleotide transfer RNA is filed under the name Podarcis lilfordi (Lilford's wall lizard). RNAcentral's name for it is "tRNA.Lys". Lineage: Eukaryota; Metazoa; Chordata; Lepidosauria; Squamata; Lacertidae. The record is from RNAcentral.
GCUUUUAAUGUCAGUUGGUAGAACAUAAGACUCUUAAUCUCAGGGUUGUGGGUUUGAGCCCCCACAUUGAGCA